Non-coding RNA from Musa acuminata subsp. malaccensis (wild Malaysian banana), 1684 nucleotides. The record is from RefSeq and is a predicted model, not a curated record. Lineage: Eukaryota; Viridiplantae; Streptophyta; Magnoliopsida; Zingiberales; Musaceae.
UUCGUGUCAUUGGCAAUUCGAUCCUUCGUCCAACUUCGAGAGACGCCUUCGCUUCUCCUUGGGAACCCUAACCCUAGACUCCAACCCCUUCGUGUCGUCGUUGGCCAUGUCGCACUUCGGGAGAUCGGGGCCGCCGGACAUCAAGGACACCUACUCCCUUCUCGUCCUCAACAUCAGCUUCCGAACCACGGCGGAUGAUCUCUUCCCACUCUUUGAUCGGUAUGGUAAAGUGGUUGACGUUUUCAUUCCAAGGGAUCGGAGGAGUGGAGAAUCGCGGGGGUUUGCUUUUGUGAGGUAUAAGUAUGCAGAUGAGGCACAGAAGGCUGUUGAAAGGCUCGAUGGGAGGAAUGUGGAUGGGCGGAAUAUUAUGGUUCAGUUUGCAAAAUAUGGACCGAACGCUGAACGAAUUCAUAAAGGAAGAAUUGUUGAGGCAAUUCCAAAGACGAGGGGCAGGUCAAGAAGCCGUAGCCCUCGACCCAGGUACAGAGACAGUAACCGAGAGAGGGAUUAUAGGAGGCGAAGUCGUAGUAGAAGCAGAGGUAGGUACGAGAGUGACAGGUACAAUGAUCGAGAAAGGGAUUAUCGCCGCCGCAGCCGCAGUGCAAGCCCUGAUUACUCUAGAGGCCGUGGUAGAGAUGAUCGAAGGAGUCGAAGUGUCUCGUAUGACAGUGCCUCACCUGCUAGGCGUAGUCCUAGUCCUGAAAGGAGCCUGACGCCCCGCCGAACACCUCCUUCAAGUCCUGAGAAAGGUAGCCAUGGUGAACGUUCCCCACCUUCAAAAAGUGCAUCACCCCUGGCUCGCCGUACUGGUUCCCGGAGUCCAUCUUCUCGCAGCUUAAAUGAGGAUUAACAUGCUGCUUAUGCAUUGGAGGAUGUGUAUUACCGUUGCUAUCUAACUUUGGAUUCGGUGGACUCCUGUUAAGUUAUCUGUUCGUGAAAGUGCUGAUGUGGCAUUUGACGAGAUGAUAUCAGAAGGAUGUUUCCUUGCUGAUGAUGUUCUGGCCGAUGAUCUUAGUUCAUUAUUGAUGUUGAUGGUGAUGAUGAAUGUUGAUGGUGAUGUUGAUGGUGAUGAUGAAUGUUGAUGGUGCUGUUGAGCUGUUGGUGACUGAAUGCUGUUCGUUUGAUGCUCGUGAUGUCAUUCUGCAGUCACAACAUUGUAGAAACAAGAAGAGGGUUCCAGUAUGCAUCAUGAGGUGUUUAAUUACAUGCAUUGAUUUUGAGUUGGUAAGAAUCAUAUCUUUGUUUAUUGGUCUUGUCCAUAUGAUUUUCUUUCAUUCUAAUUAUGUUACCGUAAUUUGUUUCCAACUUUUUAGCACUAAAGAGUAGUGCUAGCAGUGAUGAUCGUGCCAUUUCCUGUUUCAAUUAACACAUGAUGCCUUUUGAAGAGUUGGAUAUGCAAUUGCACAUGGAUGUGAUGCAGAAGCCGUGCUGGGGUGCACAAUUGAUUUCCAUCUGACACUAAUUUGAAGCAAUUUGUGCUUCCAACCUUGUCCACUGCAUGCUUAGAUGGUUUGGCUGCUGUCAGAAGACUUGUAGAUUGAUGGUCUGACACAAAGACAAGGGGUACCAGCAAUUAUAGGCUUAUGUUAUGGAACAAUUGCAUGCUUAUGAGUAUGGAACAAUCAAAUGGUUGGAACAAUCUAUAGAGGUUGCUUUAUAUCAUUAUUCUCUUGUGGUCUUGCAA